UGUAAUUGCAGUGAUGGAGGGGCUCC
This 26-nucleotide non-coding RNA is filed under the name Rattus norvegicus (Norway rat). Lineage: Eukaryota; Metazoa; Chordata; Mammalia; Rodentia; Muridae. The record is from RNAcentral.